CCUAUGCAAUAACCAAGAAAUGGUUAGAAUUUUGACCAAUAAACGAAAGAAAUUAUUCAUGUCCGCCAUUUUAGAAACAUUCUUCGACAAAGCCACAUUCCCACAUUGGUACUAUAGUUUAUUUUUAAUUUUUCAGUAGUUUUAUCAAAAUUAAAACAUACAACAUACAUGAAUUUAAUUCCUAGUGCCCACUCAGUACAGAACAGAAUCAAUCCGAUUCCACCAAAAAGCCCCUGAUGCCUGCUGGUAAUCGUUGCCGGAGUUGCUUAGUCGCAAUACCGUUAAUCCGGCUUCUUAUUGCAUGGAUCGGUUCCAAAUCAGGCCGCUGGACACGACGAAUUGCAGACAGCACUCAACGAGGCCUUCCAGAAAAAUACCGGGUUGGGGUUAAGCACUCCAAAUGGGCGCACUGGAUGGUGGAUAAGUUUUCUGAUCCGGACGAUGACGAUGGAUCGCCAGGCGAUCCGGAAUUUCCUCUUCACCUGUGUUGUCCGAACGGGACUGUUUGAACUGGUCAUCUUGAGGAGGCUUCAACUAUCAGCUGUCGACAUGAAAUUUCGAAAACGAUAGUACCGAAAAUAAAUUAGAUUCGAACAAAUUUUACAUUCCGGGACGGGAUGCAUGUAGCCAGAUUCAGAUCGGGCGGAAAAAAUUGUGGAACAGCGGAUCGGAGCCGAAUCGGAGCACAGCAGUUUUACGAGAAGCCUGAGGUUGAAGCGAACGAGGAGUCGAAAAAAUAGUACAUUGCUCUAGGGUCUAGGGCAGCGGUCUGUGCGGUACUAUUUACAGUGUUGUUGUUUGUUUGUUCGCGGCGAUCUCCCCAACAAUCUCAGUCUCGGGUCAUCUGCGUCGCUGGUAAGUCAUGGCACGGGACUUGCAUCGUCUGUACAGCAAGAACACUCGGAACUUUAUUCGGAAGAGGAUGACGGCCCCCGUAUGACGGCUAUGAACAACGCUUCCAA
Long non-coding RNA from Uranotaenia lowii, 962 nucleotides. RefSeq lists it as uncharacterized. Lineage: Eukaryota; Metazoa; Arthropoda; Insecta; Diptera; Culicidae. The record is from RefSeq and is a predicted model, not a curated record. The transcript has 3 exons.